Acanthopagrus latus (yellowfin seabream) is the source of this 2734-nucleotide long non-coding RNA. RefSeq lists it as uncharacterized. Lineage: Eukaryota; Metazoa; Chordata; Actinopteri; Spariformes; Sparidae. The transcript is spliced from 3 exons. The record is from RefSeq and is a predicted model, not a curated record.
ACACACACACACACACACACACACACACACAUACACACUUAGACACAGAGGGAGACAGCUCAUGUCAGCCUGAAAAGCCUGAAAAACUGAACGGAUGUGUUUGGCGGUAAACAGCGGUCUUGUUGAUGCAUGAGGGCGCAGGCGAAGCGCAAGGAUACAGUGACACCUGUCGUCUCCUGCAAGAGCCUCGUUUCAGGCGGAGGAGCAGGAUGUUCACAGAGACGAGGACAACUCAGUGGGUAAGAGCCCAUUUUGGCGAGGAGGAGAGAUGAUCCACAGGUCCUCAUGACGAACACCAGACCACGUGUUCAUCCGCCUGACAGAGGCCACUGUGAGAUGGGGAUUUAUAGCUCUCAUCAUCAUCAUCAUCAUCAUCAUCAUCAUCAUCAGACUUCACGGUCAGUAUUAGAGACACACGGGCAGCCUCAGCCCUGUGAUAAUAUCGAGCCUUGAAUUCGCCAGCAGGGGGCGGUGUUGCACUGGAGCAGAGACAGCUCAGGACAAUGAGAUGUAUGUAACUGUGGCCUUCGGCUCUUUAUUUCAAAUGCUCUGAUACAUGAAAAAUAACACCUGAGAUCACCCUCAGCUCCCCAAAUAAAAGAACAGAUUUUAGGAAUAAAGGGGGUGACAAUGAAACGACACCUGAAACCUUGGAAAGGCAACAAAAGUUGUGUAUUCACAUGACACAGUGGAUAUGAAACACACAAAGACAGGAGAGGGCCAGUCUGUUUGCUUCCACAUAUGAUUCUCAGGAGAAUUUGUAAGUUUGUUUUCUGCACGAAAUGUUCUAACCCUAACCCUUUUCAAACAACAAUAGUGUAUAUCUUUGGAGGCAUGUUCAGAUGAUCAGCUUCUGUAAUUUUGCCAGUUUUUGCCCCUGACUCUGAUUUAGCUGAUGGUGAAUGCACGCUGCAGCACAAACAAGACCAACAUCAUUAAUAAGAUGGGAACGUCCGCAAGUGUUGACAGUCACAAUCCAUUUUUCCUUUCCUGGUGGAAAUGGGCCUCCGUAUCAGUAAGAUGUGUUUUAAACGGGAGCCACCUGAUAACUUCAACAAAACCAAACCUCUUCAGCCUUUUUAAUCUCACAUUUGAUGUUUUGUCACAUAGUUGGGACUUUUUAUCGCACAAUUUUCACCUUCUUCUCAUAAUUUUGAGGUUUUUUUAAUCGCAUACCAUGGAAAUAUUUUGUGUCAUGUUUUCUUUAACUGGUGGAGAUGUGCUUCUAUAAUAGAGAUGUGCUUCACUUCUCCUUCAGCGAGUAUGAAAAAUGAGGAACCCGUUAACUUCAACAGAACAAACCCUGUUGUUGAAUAUGUUCUGUGUUUCAGUCGACCUUGGUGACAUACAUGCACGCAACACAUGAUAAAUUUGUAAAUAUUUAUCGGUUUAUUACAGUUAAAAAGAUGUAUGUACAUACAGAACAUCACCGAACAUGGUCAUUUUCACUCAUUUGCAAAGUAGUACUCUGCAACUAGUCGGUUUCAGGAUAACUGUCUUACAAUGGGGCGGCAUUGAUUAAGUUUGUCAUUUACAACCAAGCAGACGAGUCAGUGUAUUUUUCCUCUUUGUCAUUUGCCAAAUAAUACUUAGUAACAGGCGUGAAACCAAAAAGAAACGACGGGAGGUUGCUUGGUAAAAACAAAUCGAUGCUGAAUUGCUGGUCCAAUUCCAAGUUCCUGCUGCCAACACGCGGCUUUGUAUGUACACAGGUAGAAACACCUCAGACUGGAUCUUGGUCACUGUGGUUAGCAAUGAAGACUCACAUAGAGGUAGUCAUGUCCGCAUCUGCUCAUCCAGUCGUGAGACAACUGACCCAAAACCUUUUUGCUCUCAGCUCCUGCUCAAUCUGUGGACCCAGACCCCUUUACUGACAUUAGAGAAGAAAAAGUGAUUAUCUGUCUUUGUUGAUGGAAUCAAACGGUCAUAAAGGUUCUGCUUGGUGCGCAUAAGGCAGUCAAGUAAAUGUAUGGAGAUACUAGAGCGCGGGUCUGUGUGUGUGUCUGUGGGAUUCAGGGUUUCAGGAGAAAAAGCUGGCGGCUUCACAUUAAAGGGCCAUUCCACCAAAAUGGACUUGGUUUGAUUACAAAAAGCGGACAUUUAUGCGGUGAUGUUCUAUGAGGAUGAAGAACAUGUGAUCCAUCAACAUCGGCCCUUUUCUGAAAAUGUGACUUUCAUUCCCUCUAUCCAAAGUGGAUAAUUCCUGAUACAAACGUGGUAAAAAAAAAAAAUAAAUAAAAUAAAUAUAUAACAAUUUUAACUAUAUCAGACUAUUAAAAAUGAUGUGUCAUAAAUGUGUUUCCUCUCAUCUUGAAAUCUCGAUUCUGACCUGAUAUGAUUUGUGGAAAACAACAGGUGAAAAACAAAACAAUGAUCCUCUGUUGGAAUAGCCAAAAUAAAAAAAAAAGCAAGCCAGUUUUUGGUGGAAUUCCCCUUUAAUGCCAAAGACAAGUGAGACGCAAGCUAAUGCACAUCCACUUGGUAGCAUAAUGGCAUUAUUUUCCAUUGCACUCUUUGUCUUUUUGUAAAACUCUCAUCACAUUACAGAUUUGUAAUACUGAGUCUACUGUAACGUCAGAUUACUGUACAGAGUAAAAGGAAAAAAUAAGACAAAGAAACUAGACCCAAAUUUACAUCGUAAUGACCAGUUGCUUGUCAUCAAGUACAGUCAGUGGCCAUAGACACAAGGAAUAGCCAAACAAACACAUAAAAAAAGACCAUUAAGGCUGCUUGU